UGCUCCAAGAGUUUAUAUAUGUGUUGCUGCAGUUGAAAAGCUCGUAGUUGGGGUUCAAAUGUGAUGAGGUGGUGGUUCUGGCGUUUGGGAUUCUGUCCCUGCCUGUUAAAUUCACUCUGUGUUGCCACCCCCAUCCACUUUUUUUUGUUCAUGUAAGGGUGGGUUUUCUCACCUCUACAUUUGAACGUGUUACUUUGAGUAAAUCUGAGUGUUCAAAGCAGACGGAAAAUAUCCCGUCUUGAAAGUUGUAGCAUGGAAUAACGUGAUAGGACUCCGGUGGCCCUUUUCAGUUGGUCUAAGCCGUUCCGGAGUAAUGACUAAGAGGGACAGUCGGGGGCACUCGUACUUCCUUGUCAGAGGUGAAAUUCUUGGAUUUAGGAAAGACGAACCACUGCGAAAGCAUUUGCCAAGGAUGUUUUCA
This 421-nucleotide ribosomal RNA is filed under the name uncultured eukaryote. RNAcentral describes it as "SSU rRNA". It matches the Rfam family "Eukaryotic small subunit ribosomal RNA", at positions 587 to 972 of the family's 1831-position model. The record is from RNAcentral.